AUACCUUAUUUGAUACCGGUUCUACCCAUUCUUUUAUUUCUCCUACUUGCGCUCAACGUUUAAAUUUGACUCCGGAGAAAUUGGACUUUGACUUAUCUGUUAAAACUCCAUUGGGAGAAACCUUCAUUACAUCCAUUGUUUAUAAGUCUUGUUUAGUUCAAAUCGGCAACCACACGUUACCUGUUGAUCUUAUUUCUUUGAAAAUACUUG
Molecule: long non-coding RNA, 210 nt
Filed under: Panax ginseng (ginseng)
Lineage: Eukaryota; Viridiplantae; Streptophyta; Magnoliopsida; Apiales; Araliaceae
Description: long non-coding RNA (PGIN_LNC015454)
Source: RNAcentral